RNAcentral lists this ribosomal RNA (254 nucleotides) under uncultured bacterium. Its description in RNAcentral is "partial 16S ribosomal RNA". It matches the Rfam family "Bacterial small subunit ribosomal RNA", at positions 524 to 776 of the family's 1533-position model. The record is from RNAcentral.
UACGGGGGGAGCAAGCGUUGUUCGGAUUUACUGGGCGUAAAGGGCGCGUAGGCGGCCACUGCAAGUCGGUUGUGAAAUCUCCGGGCUUAACCCGGAAAGGUCAAUCGAUACUGCAGGGCUAGAGUGCAGAAGGGGCAACUGGAAUUCUCGGUGUAGCGGUGAAAUGCGUAGAUAUCGAGAGGAACACCUGCGGCGAAGGCGAGUUGCUGGGCUGACACUGACGCUGAAGCGCGAAAGCUAGGGGAGCGAACGGG